CCUAAAGGCGCAAUGAAAGUGUCAGGGGAGGCCUCCUCAGGGAGUCCUCUCCGCAGGGAGGAUGGGCCACCCGUACGUUCACUCGUGUCGGGGCCCCGCACUCCCGGGGCGUCUCGUUCUCAUCACGAGUGGAGACGCACCAGGAGCGCACACGCUGGUACCCGAAAGAUGGUGAACUAUGCCUGGCCAGGACGAAGCCAGGGGAAACCCUGGUGGAGGUCCGAAGCGAUUCUGACGUGCAAAUCGAUCGUCUGAGCUGGGUAUAGGGGCGAAAGACCAAUCGAACCAUCUAGUAGCUGGUUCCCUCUGAAGUUUCCCUCAGGAUAGCUGGCUCUCGGGAAGAGACGAGUCUCAUCCGGUAGAGCGAAUGAUUAGAGGUGAUGGGGUCGAAACGACUUCAACCUAUUCUCAAACUCCCAAUAGAUGAGAGCCCCGGCUUGCUUAAAAGUGAAGCCGCGGGAAUCGGAUCAGAGAUGCCAAGUGGGCCAAUUUU
Molecule: ribosomal RNA, 493 nt
Filed under: Antiteuchus mixtus
Lineage: Eukaryota; Metazoa; Arthropoda; Insecta; Hemiptera; Pentatomidae
Description: partial large subunit ribosomal RNA
Rfam family: Eukaryotic large subunit ribosomal RNA
Source: RNAcentral